AUGGAGAACUUGGUUCAGGAUUUGCAAGAUGAGCUGGAGAUGAAAGAGGGGUUAACUGUGAAGGAACUGCCUAAUGAGACGUCUGGUGAACUAGAUGAUGGCAAUAUCAAAGCUCACACCCCUGAUUCAAUAUCAAUGAGCAAAAUUGAAGCAGAACUUGAAGCCGAGCUUGCGAGGCUGGAGUUAAAUAUCACUUCAAACCACUUGGAAGAAGAACCGUUUGACUUGAUUGAGAUCGAUCAGGAGUUCAUUGAAGAUAUUGUUCAGGGGGAACUGAAGAGCGACAUGAUUCGUCGUGACAUUGCUGAUUACAGCAGUGAUAGUGACCAUGGCAGGGACAGCAGACAAAGCUCCCCAGAUUACACACAUGAGACAAACUAUCCUGUCUCACCUAGAGAUCUCAGUCUCCGUCUCCACAAGGUGAUCCAGCAUAGGCUGGAAGAGCGAAUCAAGGAGCUUGAGACAGCACUAGCUCAGAGCCAGAAGCAGGCGCAACUGCACAUGAUGGCGAGAGAGCGAGUCUUCUCCGAACAGACGUGCUUAAACAGUGAUUCAGGUUCUUCUUCCAACCAGGAUAGUCCAUUGUUUAUACAAGAAACUAGCUCCUCCGCCGAACCUUUCUGUCUAAAUCUAGCUGGAGACGCACUAGAAGCCUACGAUGAAGCCUAUGAAGAAUUCAUGAGAAUUGCUGACUCCCCUUGCACCACAAGUACAAACGGGAGGCCUCAGGUAAAUGAAGAUUACUCAGUGGACCGCAGCUUGAUCUGGGGCUUGGAAGAUGAGAGCGCUACGGAGCUGAAAGAGGACAGCGCUUGGGAGCAGGCUGUGAAGAGCGGGGACCCUAACAGAGCUCAAGAGAGCGAUGGAGACGAGUCGGGCGACGAGGAUGACCACGAUAGUGCUCAUCCAACAGAUUGUAGAGAGAACUAA
RNAcentral lists this ribosomal RNA (930 nucleotides) under Triticum aestivum (bread wheat). RNAcentral describes it as "partial small subunit ribosomal RNA". Lineage: Eukaryota; Viridiplantae; Streptophyta; Magnoliopsida; Poales; Poaceae. The record is from RNAcentral.